GAAUUCGCCCUUAGAGUUUGAUCCUGGCUCAGGACGAACGCUGGCGGCGUGCUUAACACAUGCAAGUCGAACGGAGGUUACGAGGAAGCUUGCGAAUUGUGACCUUAGUGGCGGACGGGUGAGUAACGCGUGGAUAACCUGCCUAUCAGACCGGGACAACACCGGGAAACUGGUGCUAAUACCGGAUACGCUCACAGAUACACAAGUAAGUGUGAGGGAAGGAGGAAUCCGCUGAUAGAUGGGUCCGCGUCCCAUUAGCUAGUUGGCGGUGUAAUAGACCACCAAGGCGACGAUGGGUAGCCGGCCUGAGAGGGUGGACGGCCACACUGGAACUGAGACACGGUCCAGACUCCUACGGGAGGCAGCAGUGGGGAAUCUUCCGCAAUGGGCGAAAGCCUGACGGAGCAACGCCGCGUGAGUGAUUAAGGCCUUCGGGUUGUAAAACUCUGUCAUCAGGGAAGAAAAUAAUGACGGUACCUGAGAAGGAAGCCCCGGCUAACUACGUGCCAGCAGCCGCGGUAAAACGUAGGGGGCGAGCGUUGUCCGGAAUUACUGGGCGUAAAGGGCGCGUAGGCGGUUGUCCAAGUCAGAGGUGAAAACUCUGGGCUCAACUCAGAGCGUGCCUCUGAAACUGGGCGACUUGAGGGCAGGAGAGGGGAGUGGAAUUCCCAGUGUAGCGGUGAAAUGCGUAGAUAUUGGGAGGAACACCAGUGGCGAAGGCGACUCUCUGGCCUGUUUCUGACGCUGAGGCGCGAAAGCGUGGGGAGCGAACGGGAUUAGAUACCCCGGUAGUCCACGCCGUAAACGAUG
Molecule: ribosomal RNA, 810 nt
Filed under: uncultured bacterium
Lineage: Bacteria
Description: bacterial SSU rRNA
Rfam family: Bacterial small subunit ribosomal RNA
Source: RNAcentral